This 1920-nucleotide ribosomal RNA is filed under the name Myxidium amazonense. RNAcentral describes it as "SSU rRNA". It matches the Rfam family "Eukaryotic small subunit ribosomal RNA". Lineage: Eukaryota; Metazoa; Cnidaria; Myxozoa; Bivalvulida; Myxidiidae. The record is from RNAcentral.
AGCCAUGCAUGUCUAGUACAUACCUAGUUAUAGUGAGACUGCGAAAGGCUCAGUAUAUCAGUUAUAGUUUAUUCGAUUGUGAAAUCCACAUGGAUAACCGUGGAAAAUCUAGAGCUAAUACAUGCGAAAAAUGACGGUUGCAGGAGUAAUUCUGUAAUUGUUGUGCAUUUAUUAGAUACAACCAAUUAGUGCUCGGUGCGCAAGCAUAGAGUGCUAUCAAGGUGAGUCUGGAUAACUGUGCCGAUCGUAUGGCCUAGAGCCGGCGACGUUUCGAUUAAAUUUCUGCCCUAUCAACUUGUUGGUAAGGUAGUGGCUUACCAAGGUGAUAACGGGUAACGGGGAAUCAGGGUUCGAUUCCGGAGAGGGAGCCUGAGAAACGGCUACCACAUCCAAGGACGGCAGCAGGCGCGCAAAUUACCCAAUCCAGACACUGGGAGGUGGUGACGAGAAAUACCAGGUCGUUCCCAAAAGGAUUCGACACUGGAAUGAUUACAGAGUAAAUAAUUGUUUGAGUAACAACUGGAGGGCAAGUCUGGUGCCAGCAGCCGCGGUAAUUCCAGCUCCAGUAGUGUAUCCUAACGUUGCUGCGGUUAAAACGCUCGUAGUUGGACAAGAGAGCAACUUGGUGCGGGCGGGAAGUGUAGUUGGUGUUGUGUGCUAUGUUGUCGUAUGCUGCUUCGUGUAGUGUUCGGCAGCAUGGUAACUGCAUUGUAGCACUUGUCAACCAUGCUGCCAGGUUGCUCGAAAUAUUUCGUGAAAAUAGCAUAUGGCCUUUAUUGUGCUGUGUGCUGUGUUUUACGUAGUGUGCCUUGAAUAAAUCAGAGUGCUCAAAGCAAGCUAACGCUUGAAUGUUAAUAGCAUGGAACGAAUGUUUUGUGUAUGUGUGCACUUUGGUAUGUUUUCUUCGGAGUAAUGUGCUGGAGUGUGCAUAGCACCAACCACGGAGCGGAACGUUGGUUACCGACUUCGGGUGAUGAUUAAGAGGGGCAUUUGGGGGCAUUAGUAUUUGGCCGCGAGAGGUGAAAUUCUUGGACCGGUCAAGGACUAACAAGUGCGAAAGCAUUUGCCAAGUAUGUUCCCUUUAAUCAAGAACGAAAGUGAGAGGUUCGAAGACGAUCAGAUACCGUCCUAGUUCUCACCGUAAACGAUGCCAACCCGGGAUCAGUYCGGAUGUACACAUGUUGGAUCCAGGUUGGUCCCCCUGGGAAACCUUGAGUCUUUAGGUUCCGGGGGGAGUAUGGUUGCAAGGCUGAAACUUAAAGGAAUUGACGGAAGKGCACCACCAGGAGUGGAGCCUGCGGCUUAAUUUGACUCAACACGGGAAAACUCACCUGGUCCGGACAUCGAUAGGAUUGACAGACUAAUAGAUCUUUCAUGAUACGGUGGGUGGUGGUGCAUGGCCGUUCUUAGUUCGUGGAGCGAUCUGUCAGGUUUAUUCCGGUAACGAACGAGAUCACGCUCUUCAUUUAGGGAACUGCAAUUGAUACUUGUUGUGGUGCAGCUUGCUGUUCCGUGGCGAUAUUAAGUUGUGGUUUGCGUGCAGCAAUGUGCGUCCCUAUGGAGAGACAGCCGGAUUAUUGAAGCCGGAGGAAGCGUGGCAAUAACAGGUCUGUGAUGCCCUUCGAUGUUCAGGGCCGCACGCGCGCUACAAUGAUAACGUCAGCGAGAGUCUGGACUGAAAAGUUCUGGGAAAUCUUGUAAAUCGUUAUCGUGAUGGGGAUUGAGCAUUGUAAUUGUUGUUCAUGAAAUAGGAAUUCCUUGUAUUUCCGUCUCACUGAGGACGGGAAGAAUGCGUCUCUGCCCUUUGUACACACCGCCCGUCGCUACUACCGAGUGAAUGGUGUCAUGAUGUCUUGGGACUGGACGUUGUUGGCAACGCAAGUUGCGGACGAUGCUAGGAGCAAGAUAAAAUGGCGCAAU